AUAGAUUAAGUUAUUAAGGGCGCACGGUGGAUGCCUUGGCACUAGAAGCCGAUGAAGGACGUUACUAACGACGAUAUGCUUUGGGUAGCUGUAAGUAAGCGUUGAUCCAGAGAUUUCCGAAUGGGGGAACCCAACAUGAGUUAUGUCAUGUUAUCGACAUGUGAAUUCAUAGCAUGUCAGAAGGCAGACCCGGAGAACUGAAACAUCUUAG
This 211-nucleotide ribosomal RNA is filed under the name Staphylococcus epidermidis. Its description in RNAcentral is "partial 23S ribosomal RNA". It matches the Rfam family "Bacterial large subunit ribosomal RNA", at positions 1 to 206 of the family's 2925-position model. The record is from RNAcentral. Lineage: Bacteria; Bacillati; Bacillota; Bacilli; Caryophanales; Staphylococcaceae.